AGAGUUUGAUCAUGGCUCAGAGCGAACGCUGGCGGCAGGCUUAACACAUGCAAGUCGAGCGCCCCGCAAGGGGAGCGGCAGACGGGAGAGUAACACGUGGGAACAUACCUUUUGGUUCGGAACAACUGAGGGAAACUUCAGCUAAUACCGGAUAAGCCCUUACGGGGAAAGAUUUAUCGCCGAAAGAUUGGCCCGCGUCUGAUUAGCUAGUUGGUGAGGUAACGGCUCACCAAGGCGACGAUCAGUAGCUGGUCUGAGAGGAUGAUCAGCCUCACUGGGACUGAGACACGGCCCAGACUCCUACGGGAGGCAGCAGUGGGGAAUAUUGGACAAUGGGGGCAACCCUGAUCCAGCCAUGCCGCGUGAGUGAUGAAGGCCUUAGGGUUGUAAAGCUCUUUUAACGGGGAAGAUAAUGACGGUACCCGUAGAAUAAGCCCGGCCAACUUCGUGCCAGCAGCCGCGGUA
Molecule: ribosomal RNA, 465 nt
Filed under: uncultured Pseudomonadota bacterium
Lineage: Bacteria; Pseudomonadati; Pseudomonadota
Description: bacterial SSU rRNA
Rfam family: Bacterial small subunit ribosomal RNA
Source: RNAcentral